GGGGAAUCUUGCGCAAUGGUCGAAAGACUGACGCAGCGACGCCGCGUGCGGGAGGAAGCCCUUCGGGGUGUAAACCGCUGUUACUCGGGACGAACUUCCCGAUUUGUCGGGAUUGACGGUACCGGGGGAGGAAGCACCGGCUAACUCUGUGCCAGCAGCCGCGGUAAUACAGAGGGUGCGAGCGUUGUCCGGAAUCACUGGGCGUAAAGGGCGCGUAGGCGGCUUCUCACGCGUGCGGUGAAAGCUCGGGGCUUAACUCCGAGUCUGCCGUGCGAACGGGGAGGCUUGAGUCUGGUAGAGGUCGAUGGAAUUCCGGGUGUAGCGGUGGAAUGCGUAGAGAUCCGGAAGAACACCGGUGGCGAAGGCGGCCUGCUGGGCAGUGGCUGACGCUGAGGCGCGACAGCGUGGGGAGCAAA
Molecule: ribosomal RNA, 416 nt
Filed under: uncultured bacterium
Lineage: Bacteria
Description: bacterial SSU rRNA
Rfam family: Bacterial small subunit ribosomal RNA
Source: RNAcentral